UACACUCCUGCGAGAGGCAGCAGUGGGGAAUUUUGGACAAUGGGCGAAAGCCUGAUCCAGCAAUGCCGCGUGAGUGAAGAAGGCCUUCGGGUUGUAAAGCUCUUUUGUCAGGGAAGAAACGGUGAGAGCUAAUAUCUUUUGCUAAUGACGGUACCUGAAGAAUAAGCACCGGCUAACUACGUGCCAGCAGCCGCGGUAAUACGUAGGGUGCAAGCGUUAAUCGGAAUUACUGGGCGUAAAGCGUGCGCAGGCGGUUUUGUAAGUCUGAUGUGAAAUCCCCGGGCUCAACCUGGGAAUUGCAUUGGAGACUGCAAGGCUAGAAUCUGGCAGAGGGGGGUAGAAUUCCACGUGUAGCAGUGAAAUGCGUAGAUAUGUGGAGGAACACCGAUGGCGAAGGCAGCCCCCUGGGUCAAGAUUGACGCUCAUGCACGAAAGCGUGGGGAGCAAACAGGAUUAGAUACCCCUGUAGUCCC
Molecule: ribosomal RNA, 473 nt
Filed under: uncultured organism
Description: partial 16S ribosomal RNA
Rfam family: Bacterial small subunit ribosomal RNA
Source: RNAcentral